UAACACGCGUGGCUAGGUGGUACUUUUGUAUCGCCGGAUGGUGAUGAGUAGUCAUCGGUUAAGCCGGAGGGGGUGCUACAGAUUGCCACGGUCUUAUCUCCCUCCGGUUUUGCUAA
Molecule: non-coding RNA, 116 nt
Filed under: unclassified sequences
Description: RT-12 RNA
Rfam family: RT-12 RNA
About the family: Proteobacteria. Nearby to self-splicing intron genes
Source: Rfam by way of RNAcentral